GCCUGGGUGGCUCAGUCAGUUGAGCAUCUGACUUCGGCUCAGGUCAUGAUCUCACAGUCCGUGAGUUCGAGCCCCGUAUCAGGCU
This 85-nucleotide transfer RNA is filed under the name Felis catus (domestic cat). It matches the Rfam family "tRNA". From Rfam's summary of the family: Transfer RNA (tRNA) molecules are approximately 80 nucleotides in length. Their secondary structure includes four short double-helical elements and three loops (D, anti-codon, and T loops). The record is from Rfam by way of RNAcentral. Lineage: Eukaryota; Metazoa; Chordata; Mammalia; Carnivora; Felidae.